GAAACUCAAGAUCAAGGGAGGAUGAUCCCCUUUCAAGUAUAGUAUUUGCCGGAGCUUUGCCGUGGAGUCCGUUGUGGCCGUGUUAUUGACGUUUUAGAUUUGAAUCAGCCUACACGGACCUAACAGCAACAGGGAUUCCAGCGGACUAACAGAAGCAGCCGUGGAGAGGCAAGGCAGGGACGAGAUUAGCGGCCAGAAAUUUGAAAGGAAAUCUUCAGAAGAAUCAGAUAGUAAGAUAGUUGGUGAAGAAAAGAAGGAAGAUAUGUCGCUUAGUAAUGAUAGUGGUGGCUCUAACAAGGCGGCUACACAUGACAAAGACAGAGAUACUUCUCCUUCCCAUGAAGGGAUAAAGCUUUCUCUAUGAUUUUUCUGUUUAAAAUGAUCAUUUAUGGAUUGCCUUGGUUUAGUAUUUUUGGUUUAUAAAGGUCAUGACUACAAUUCAACAGGGUAUUGGAACGAGCUACUAUGGGCAGCUUCGUGUUCUCUCUGGAGGUCAAGCACCUGGUGGGCACACUGCUAUAUAUGGACUAUUCGGGUGAUCCGAAGAUUAUCACCUGCAAGUUUUCAUGCUGCUGUAGCAAAGACAUGUUUUGAGCUGAAGAAUCAACUCAUCACUGCUAGCUAUGUUGAUGAUGAAACAUCCAUGUAGAUGGCUAAGAAAUACUUGGAUUAUGAUUCUUGGUGAAGUGACAUCUCACAACUUGGAUAAUUGAGAAUGAGGCUCAUAUCAGCAAGGGGAAAGUGAAGUCUUUCACGCUCUUCCUGUGGUAGCAUUCCCUUUUCUUCUGCAGCAGAUAAUUUAUUAGCACAGAUUGAAUGACUUCAAUCAUUCAAUCUGAUGUACUCAAAUCAUGCAAUAAUGUGAUCAAGAGCUCACAUUCACCUUCCACUUUGUAAUAUUUCUUAUGUAUCUUUUUUUUUGGGAAUCAUAAUAAGCAAUAAUAUUUUACAGUACAUAUGCAUUAGUAUUACACCAAACAACUCUCAAUAGAAAAAAGAAAUACAAUUACAACCAAAAUAAAAUUAAAGAAAAACAGUGAGCAUAUAAAGUUAGCUUAAAAAGGGACCCCAUAGAGAAAAUACAUUUAAAAAUAUAUAGUAAAUUAUUAAAUAAACAAAAUAAAAUUGGAACAAAUUUAAAUAGUAAAUAUAUUUAAGACUCAAACAAAUAUGUAUAAUUUUAAAUAGUAAUGACCACUAUUAAAUUUUUAUGUACUUUACCUGAUUUAAUUAUAUUUCCAGUUAAAAUGGAUUAAACUUCACAACUUAUUACUUAUAACUUCAUUAAACUCAUCAGAAAAUGAUUAUUAGUUUGAAACUUUGAUCAAUGAGUACAGUUAUUUCUAAUAGGUGAAGUAAAAACGGACAGGUCAGCCAAUUAUUUAAACAAUUGUAAAAUCUUCCAUAACUUUUGUUUAAUUAACAUCUAAACCAAAUAUUUUAACACAAUUUUAUGAAUAUAUUCCAUAAUUUAAUGGUACAUUUUAAACAAAAAGUAUAUUUUUGUCAAUGGAAUAUAAAAUAACAAUAAUUUCUAAAAUCAUGAACAAAAUUUUAACACAAAUUAUAAAAUAAACUUACUUUUAAUAACAAUUAAACCAAAUAUUUUAAACAAUUACAUCAUAUAUAUUUCAUAAAUAUGUUUAUAACCCUGAGUACAUUUUGAAGCAAAACUAUUUGUCAAUUUUAUAAUCAUAAAUUAAAAUUUCAAGGAAUUUUCUAACGAUAGAAAAAAAAACAAUGGUAAAGUAGAAACUAACUUGAAUCCCUGAGUGGACUGGCCAGUGUUGCGUACUGUUCUUUUUUCAUUAUUUAGAAAAAAGGUCAUGGAUCCUGAAAUCAGAAAGCAUAACUUUAAGACUUUUCAAACAUCAUAUUUAGAAAUUCAAUUUCAUAUUGUUUUUAGAACAAAAAUUUAGAAUAUAACCUUACAUAAAUUUAUAGAAUUAAACAUUUAUAACACUGCAUGAAAUGUUCUUAACAUAAAUUCUUUGACAUACAAAUAAAAUAAUAGACAAACAAAAUAAAUUAAUAUAUAAAUAUAGAUUUGUAAUAAAUAAAUAUCAACACAUUUUUUAAUUGUUAUGAUUUGUCAGUUACCAAAAUUGCAAAACCUUUCAAAUUCUAUUUAAAAUAACUAUUUUCAAAAUUUGCUCAAAUAAAAUGAUUUGUGUUCUUAUAUUAUAUUUUUUACCUUUAACAUAUAGUCUUUUUGUUUAAUAUUAGAUAAUGUUUUACAUCGGUGAACAUAUAUUAAAAAAUCGACUAUUUUAGAAAGUAAUAUUAAAAUAUAAUUUAGAUAUAGUUUCACCAAUUAAAAAUGUAAAUAUUAAAAUUAUAAUUAGUUACACCAUUUUUUUUUUACAACAGUUACACCAUUUUUAGUAAUGUAAAGUUAUUUAGAUACUUGAAAACAUUGUCUGAUGUUAAAUAA
Long non-coding RNA from Brassica rapa (field mustard), 2434 nucleotides. RefSeq lists it as uncharacterized. The record is from RefSeq and is a predicted model, not a curated record. Lineage: Eukaryota; Viridiplantae; Streptophyta; Magnoliopsida; Brassicales; Brassicaceae.